CUUUCCUACGGGGGGCAGCAGUAGGGAAUAUUGCUCAAUGGGGGAAACCCUGAAGCAGCAACGCCGCGUGGAGUCUGCCGGUUUUCGGCUUGUCCCCUCCUUUUUUUCGCGCCGCUCCUGCCGGUCUCUCCCGCAUCCGCACCGGCUAACUCCGUGCCCGCCGCCGCGGUCCUCCGGCGGGUGCCCGCGUUCCUCGGCCUCCCUGGGCGUCCCGCGCGCGUCGGCGGGCUCGCCCGUCCGCUGUGCCCUCCUCUGGCUUCCCCCUCGCCCUGCCUU
This 276-nucleotide ribosomal RNA is filed under the name uncultured bacterium. RNAcentral describes it as "partial 16S ribosomal RNA". The stretch from base 1 to 191 matches the Rfam family "Bacterial small subunit ribosomal RNA", at positions 334 to 542 of the family's 1533-position model. The record is from RNAcentral.